Molecule: unclassified non-coding RNA, 335 nt
Filed under: soil metagenome
Description: partial contains 5.8S ribosomal RNA, internal transcribed spacer 2, and large subunit ribosomal RNA
Rfam family: 5.8S ribosomal RNA (bases 1-120)
Source: RNAcentral
GAUGAAGAACGCAGCGAAAUGCGAUAAGUAGUGUGAAUUGCAGAAUUCAGUGAAUCAUCGAAUCUUUGAACGCACAUUGCGCCCUAUGGUAUUCCGUAGGGCAUGCCUGUUCGAGCGUCAUUCAAACCUUCAAGCUCUGCUUGGUGUUGGGCGUCUGUCCUGCCUCACGGCGCGGACUCGCCUCAAAUCUAUUAGCGGCCGGCACGUUGGCUUCGAGCGCAGCAGAAACGCGAACUCGAGACCGGCGGAUCGGCUCCCAGAAGCUACCCCCAUGAAUUUGACCUCGGAUCAGGUAGGGAUACCCGCUGAACUUAAGCAUAUCAAUAAGCGGAGGA